AACGAACGCUGGCGGCGUGCCUAACACAUGCAAGUCGAACGAGAAAGGGGCUUCGGCUCCGAGUAAAGUGGCGCACGGGUGAGUAACACGUAGGUAACCUGCCUCUAAGAUUGGGAUAACAUGUCGAAAGACGUGCUAAUACCGAAUAAGACCACGGCUUCCUCGGAAGCAGGGGUCAAAGAUAGCCUCUACUUGUAAGCUAUCACUUAGAGAUGGGCCUGCGUACCAUUAGCAGUUGGUAGGUAAUGGCCUACCAAGGCAAAGAUGGUUAGCUGGUCUGAGAGGAUGAUCAGCCACACUGGAACUGAGACACGGUCCAGACUCCUACGGAGGCAGCAGUGGGAAUAUUGCGCAAUGGGCGAAAGCCUGACGCAGCAACGCCGCGUGAGUGAUG
This 394-nucleotide ribosomal RNA is filed under the name uncultured bacterium. RNAcentral describes it as "bacterial SSU rRNA". It matches the Rfam family "Bacterial small subunit ribosomal RNA", at positions 29 to 410 of the family's 1533-position model. The record is from RNAcentral.